GAGCGGGCCCUUCGGGGUCAGCGGCAGACGGGUGAGUAACGCGUGGCAACGUACCAUUUGCUACGGAAUAACUCAGGGAAACUUGUGCUAAUACCGUAUGAGCCCCCCUUUAAAAUUUCAUGAAUCAUAGAAUGCCCUGGCAUUUUAUGGGGGGGAAAGAUUUAUCGGCAAAUGAUCGGCCCGCGUUGGAUUAUCUAGUUGGAGGGGUAAAGGCCUACCAGGGCGACGAUCCAUAGCUGGACUGAGAGGAUGAUCAGCCACACUGGGACUGAGACACGGCCCACACUCCUACGGGAGGCAUCAGUGGGGAAUAUUGGACGAUGGGCGCAAGCCUGAUCCAGCCAUGCCGCGUGAGUGAUGAAGGCCCUAGGGUUGAAAAGCUCUUUCACCGGUGAAGAUAAUGACGGUAACCGGAGAAGAAGCCCCGGCUAACUUCAUGCCAUCAGCCGCGGUAAUACGAAGGGGGCUAGCGUUGUUCGGAUUUACUGGGCGUAAAGCGCACGUAGGCGGGCUAAUAAGUCAGGGGUGAAAUCCCGGGGCUCAACCCCGGAACUGCCUUUGAUACUGUUAGUCUUGAGUAUGGUAGAGGUGAGUGGAAUUCCGAGUGUACAGGUGAAAUUCGUAUAUAUGCGGAGGAACACCAAUGGCGAAGGCGGCUCACUGGACCAUUACUGACGCUGAGGUGCGAAAGCGUGGAGAGCAGACAGGAUUAGAUACCCUGGUACUCCACGCCGUAAACGAUGAAUGUUAGCCGUUGGGGAGUUUACUCUUCUGUGGCGCAGCUAACGCAUUAGACAUUCCGCCUGGGGAGUACGGUCGCGAGAUUAGUACUCAAAGGAAUUGACGGGCGCCCACACUAGCGGUGGAGCAUGUGGUUUAAUUCGAAGCAACGCGCAGAAUCUUACCAGCCCUUGACAUCCCGAUCGCGGUUAGUGGAGACACUAUCCUUCA
RNAcentral lists this ribosomal RNA (951 nucleotides) under Brucella ciceri. RNAcentral's name for it is "bacterial SSU rRNA". It matches the Rfam family "Bacterial small subunit ribosomal RNA", at positions 64 to 1018 of the family's 1533-position model. Lineage: Bacteria; Pseudomonadati; Pseudomonadota; Alphaproteobacteria; Hyphomicrobiales; Brucellaceae. The record is from RNAcentral.